This 24-nucleotide non-coding RNA is filed under the name Rattus norvegicus (Norway rat). The record is from RNAcentral. Lineage: Eukaryota; Metazoa; Chordata; Mammalia; Rodentia; Muridae.
ACAGUGCUCACCGCAAAAGCCUCC